This 817-nucleotide long non-coding RNA is filed under the name Marmota monax (woodchuck). The record is from RNAcentral. Lineage: Eukaryota; Metazoa; Chordata; Mammalia; Rodentia; Sciuridae.
AAAAGCCAAGGAUAUAAAAUCUUAAAUUUUGUGACAGUAUAACUCGACAGUCUCAAUAUGACCUGAUAAAUUGAUGAAGUGAAGAUGAGAUUAUUGAGACUGUUCAUAUUAUGAUUCAAAACCAUUUUCUAUUGUGGCAUAUAGGUGGCUCAAAGUAAUGGCUCUUUUGAUAGGUUUUGUUGUGUCUUGUGAGCAAAUCAUGUGUCUAGUGUUGGAAUGGAAUUGUUGCUACAGUAUCACAAGUGGAUAUUUUGACUUUGUCGUUCCCUCAGUAUUACAGCCUGACUUGUAAUCAAUAAUGAAUAUUUCUUGAUAUUUAAUGUAUAGGACAUUUAUUUAUACUCAAUAAAUAUUUUUCAAAAGGAUAUAAUUUCAAUAUCACUUCAGCCUAAGGGCUCCACUACAGAAACCAAAUUUAAUCAAUAGCAUUGUGGUACAGACAUAAGAGCAAUGGCCGUGGGUAUACUAUCUGCUACCUACUAAGUCUACUUGACUUCUGUAAAUUUCUAUUUCCUUAUUAGUAAAAUUGUGCUUAAUUGAGAUAAUGGUCAUAACUACUCUGUUAACUGCAGUGUGCUAUAUUCUCAUAUGAGGGAUUAUUAAUAAUUAAAAAAAAGUGGGGGCUUCAUUCUUUUCUUACAGGGUGCCUGGAGUGCUAUGGCAAGUCCAAAUCCUGCCUGAUUUUAGAGUCUUUAACAAUCCUUCCUCACUCAACCUCUCACCAACAGCAUUUCCCCUCUAGUAUGACUGGGUACACAGUGCCAUGUGUACCAAUCUUUUACAUGUCUGUAGAUCAAACUAAUAAACAUUUAUUGAA